GGCGGCGUGUCUAAUACAUGCAAGUAGAACGCUGAAGAGAAGAGCUUGCUCUUCUUGGAUGAGUUGCGAACGGGUGAGUAACGCGUAGGUAACCUGCCUGGUAGCGGGGGAUAACUAUUGGAAACGAUAGCUAAUACCGCAUAAAAUUGAUUAUUGCUUGAUAAUUAAUUGAAAGAUGCAAUUGCAUUACUACCAGAUGGACCUGCGUUGUAUUAGCUAGUUGGUGAGGUAACGGCUCACCAAGGCGACGAUACAUAGCCGACCUGAGAGGGUGAUCGGCCACACUGGGACUGAGACACGGCCCAGACUCCUACGGGAGGCAGCAGUAGGGAAUCUUCGGCAAUGGGGGGAACCCUGACCGAGCAACGCCGCGUGAGUGAAGAAGGUUUUCGGAUCGUAAAGCUCUGUUGUAAGAGAAGAACGGGUGUGAGAGUGGAAAGUUCACACUGUGACGGAU
RNAcentral lists this ribosomal RNA (457 nucleotides) under Streptococcus sanguinis. RNAcentral's name for it is "bacterial SSU rRNA". It matches the Rfam family "Bacterial small subunit ribosomal RNA", at positions 38 to 477 of the family's 1533-position model. The record is from RNAcentral. Lineage: Bacteria; Bacillati; Bacillota; Bacilli; Lactobacillales; Streptococcaceae.